RNAcentral lists this small RNA (112 nucleotides) under Chrysemys picta bellii (western painted turtle). RNAcentral describes it as "TUC338 (ENSCPBG00000006839.1)". Lineage: Eukaryota; Metazoa; Chordata; Testudines; Emydidae. The record is from RNAcentral.
CUUUUUAUCCAUGAGCAGGGACAGCAUUGGCAGUGGAAGUGCAAGCUUCCCCCAUGUUGCCCCAUUUAAAUAUCCCAGCACUGACUGGAGGGACUGCCUCUAGUGGGGAGAG